CCUACGGGAGGCAGCAGUGAGGAAUAUUGAUCAAUGGUCGGGAGACUGAACCAGCCAAGCCGCGUGAGGGAGGAAGGUACAGAGUAUCGUAAACCUCUUUUGUCAGGGAACAAAGGCGGGGACGUGUCCCCGGAUGAGUGUACCUGAAGAAAAAGCAUCGGCUAACUCCGUGCCAGCAGCCGCGGUAAUCCGGAGGAUGCGAGCGUUAUCCGGAUUUAUUGGGUUAAAAGGGUGCGCAGGCGGUCUGUUAAGUAAGCGGUCAAAGCCCGGGGCUCAACCCCGGCCCGCCGUUGAAACUGGCAGGCUCGAGUUGGAGAGAAGUAGGCGGAAUGCGCGGUGUAGCGGUGAAAUGCAUAGAUAUCGCGCAGAACUCCGAUUGCGAAGGCAGCAUGCCGGCUCCACACUGACGCUGAGGCACGAAAGCGUGGGUAUCGAACAGGAUUAGAUACCCGGGUAGUC
RNAcentral lists this ribosomal RNA (459 nucleotides) under uncultured bacterium. RNAcentral describes it as "partial 16S ribosomal RNA". It matches the Rfam family "Bacterial small subunit ribosomal RNA", at positions 338 to 795 of the family's 1533-position model. The record is from RNAcentral.